This 6749-nucleotide unclassified non-coding RNA is filed under the name Leishmania donovani. Its description in RNAcentral is "gene:LdHU3.33.4550(CDS-product:hypothetical_prote in_conserved)". Lineage: Eukaryota; Euglenozoa; Kinetoplastea; Trypanosomatida; Trypanosomatidae. The record is from RNAcentral.
CUGCUUAGUCUGUCUUGUAUCAUUGCUCUGGUCGCUGCUGCCGAUCGCCGUUGCGUCUGCCUUGCCCCGAAGGGAACGAGAAAACCGGUGAGCCUCGGCAAAAAGGCACAAAAUUGGACGAUGUGUGUGUGUGUCGCCACACACACACACACACACACAACAUACCUCAUUUUUAUUCCCCCCCCUCCACCUCCUCCCAGCGCCCUCUCCCAAUUUUCUUGAUUGUGCGCCAUUCACAAGCACGAGCUUGUGAGGGCAUCUUUACCCCACUGGAAGGUCGCGAACAACGAAAAGUCGUAAUAGUUCCUCGUGGGGUGUGUGCUAGUGCAAUCAGGCAACUGCCGUCGUUCUGGCUGAAGUCGUUUCGCUACUCUCACCGUCGCUGUCUCUCUUUCUGUAUGUUUGUCUUUUCUUAGUUUGCACCCCUCCUCGCUUGUUCGGCUUUGGUGCUUUUUUUUGUUUGUUUUCGUCUGUGCUUUCGCUGCCGCUUCAUCGCAGUGCGGGGACGCUGUUGCUGUCUUGUGUCUGUCUGUCUGUGUCUGUGUCUCUGUGUGUGUGUGCGUUGGUGCCUCUCUCUUGUUCACGUUUGUUUCUCUUUCGUUUGCGGCUUCGUAUCUGGCGUGGUAGCUUCUCUCCUCUGCUCUCUUUUCUCCCCUAUCGCUCAUCCAUCCAGCGUGUCCUCUGCCUUUUUUUUUCCGCCUCCCCGCUUUUUGUUGUGUACUCCUCUAUCUGACCACCUCUCCCUCCCCGUCUCGUCUCUUUCUCGUCGUCACGCACACAUCUUUGUGCUCGUUUUCCCCCCUUCUCUUUCGCUUUAGCGGCUUGUUUUCUCCUUGUUUCGUAUUGCCACAAUUCUGCCUCUUCAAUUUUUUGAGGUUUUCAUUUCUGUCUUGUUUUUGUGGGUGUGCGUGCUUGUGCAUCUCACUACAUCUCACUAUCGCUAAUUCUCUCUCGACUCGCUACCUCAUCCUUUAGUCUCACUCGAUCAAACACGCACACCCGAAGUUGUGUUCUGCUUCUUUGGCGCUUCUCAUCCUUCUCUGUUUUGUUUUCCCCCCUUCCCCGCGCUCUGUGGUCGCAUCUUUUGCGCUGCGUGGCUUUUGCAUUGCACGCGCUCCCUCCCCCACCUCUUUCUGUGCCCUCUCUUCCCCUUCCUCUCGCUUUCCUCCCUCGCUGCUGCCUCAUCGUUUUCUCCCCCGCUGUCUUGCCGUCGGCGUCGCGUUCUCCUCCUCCUUUUCAGUUUGAUUGUGCACACUUGCCGACUCUUCGUUGUCGUUUCUGGAUAUCUCAGCUCGGUCUCUUUCACCCCCCGGGCUGCCCAUCUGUUAGCGCAUUUUUCUCUCUUUGCUUCCCUUUUGCCGUUUUUCUUUUUCUUGUCGUGCAGACAAACACAGAGACACAGCGAUAUUCCUUUCGAUUUGCGUGCAGCCCAUAGAGUAGUACUCCUCGUUUUUCCAGCCUUCGUGUCCUUCCGGCGGAUACCUCUCGAAAGCACAUUCCCACGCUAAGUUUGCUGUCCCUAUCUUGCUUUUCUUUGUGCUUGCGGCUUCCCCAUUGAUUGCUCAUAGUGCGGCUUUCAUGGAUUUAGCUCACUUUUUGAGUGCGUGUUUCUGAGGGCCGGGCUUGCUCAGCUUUCGACCUUUCUUUCUUGUCUUUUUACAUUCUCAGGUUUUACUUCGCCGUGCGUUUGUACGACCGGAGCUUCGACCUUUUCUCGCCACAUAUCCCUUUUCACCAUCCCUCUCCCCUCGUUAUCGAAGUGAAUCGAAUGCCCAGCAUGUCCACUGCGGAGGAUAGCGGGCACUGGAUGGCAACGGUGAUGCCCCCGCGGAGUGCAGGUAAACCGCCCCUUCUGCAGCACAGCAACGGCAAGGAGUCGCCGCGGCCGGCGAGGGCGCUGGUGGAAGCACCGGAGUGUUUUGCAAAUGGGCAGUAUUUUGGUCUGCCGUGUACUCUGGGUAACGAGGAUAACGAUGCCCGCUCUAACAGCGCCGUAAGCAGCUGCAGCGGCGACAAAUCUGAGGAACUGCGGUGCCGCGCACAGCGCAAUCGCAGGUGGAAAACAUCGUCGAGUAGCGAUACGGCGGCACGCGACGAGGACGCCGCAUGCCCGGCAGCCGUCUCUUCCGUCUCCUCUUACUACUUCAGCGGACAUAACAUGCUGACGGAGGUCGCCCAUGGGUGCACGGGGGAGCAGAGGUUCAUGGAAAAUCGCGAUGGCAUGAGCACGUUUCAUUCGUCCAGUAGCCCAGCGAGCGAGCGAGCUGGCGACGCGUCGGAGCAGUCUUCUCGGCCGCUCGCUUUGCUGGGAGCCACCUCUCCAUCUGUGGUGCAACCGGCGACGAGGAUAGCGCGGGUCCGUGCAGCAGCGGUGGCGGCCUCUUCGCGGGCAAUGCCGUCGACCGAGCUCGAUGACCCCUAUCACGUUCUCUCCAUGCCCACUGCGGGGACCCUGUACUUGAGCUCGCGCACUGGAAGCGACCGAGACAGCGUCGACGGCGAAAGUCGUUUCACUGCGCGGGCAUCACAGCAAGACAUGUACUACAUGUACACCUCAACCCUUACGAUGUCUACAGACGCGCCUGCCAGCCCCUCUAAGCGUCAGCAGCGAGACGGCGCCGCUCCACGUGGCGGGUCCGCUUCCGUCGCCUCGUCCUGCGAUCGGGUGUGUGUGCCGGGGAUCUGGGAGUACGACGAGUGGAUGUUGACGGCGCGGCCAGCGACGAUGGAGACUCUCAGUGGGCAUUCGUCCGGCACUAAGGCGCUGGCCACUGACUACGAGCGUCGCGCUGCGCAGUUUCCAAGUCCUGCGGCCAUUGACGUCACAAUGGGGCCGUCGAGUCAGCCCUCGCCGACCAUGGCGGUCUGUUCGCCACGCACGGCAACCCCCACGACAGUGUCGAAUGAACUUCCAGCAGGCACAGAUCUCACCGCUAAGGCGCACAGUGUCCCCUCUGCCCGAGGUUCGCAGCUGCCGCGCGGCGCCGCCGAUAGCGAUGCGUCCCCGAAGACGAAGGAGCGGCCGCCAGCGUCGGGGUGCAAAAGCGCUGCCGCGACAGUACCACCGCCACCUUUGGGCACCUUCGCCACCCCCGACGUGUGUAUCGCCUUGAAGGACUUCACGACUGGCAUGAGGAGCCCGACAAGGAAUGUCGUGAAUGACAGCACCGCUGUCGAUGGCGCUGUCCACCAGCCGGUUGAGUUGCGGUCGCACCGCUGCUCCACUGGUUUCGCGGACAGCGGGGCACCGUUUUCUGAUGCCUCAUCGUCGUUGCUGGCAGCAGGGAAGGCUCCCCAGCAGCCACCGCCGCGUCCUUCUUACGCGAACGACGCCGCGAAUUCUGGAGAGAGCAAAAUGCACACGGUCACCUCUUCCAUCUCGAAUGGCUUCCUGGGCGGACACCGGCCAGCCUUCGUGACAACGGCAUCUUUGAACACGUGCCCCGCGGCCCUGGUACCCGAUCACGCCCCUCUCCUGGCCUUCGGUGUGCAUCCUAUUCGCAAGGACGUCGAUUCACGGUCGUGCGUGCCCUCUCCUGCCGCCUCCACUGCUUCCACGGCGAUGCCGCUGCUGCUGUCGCCUCAGGCCCUAGCGACCGCAGGGCAGCCUACUUCGAAGGCGUGGCCCGCACGACCGCCAGAAGUCCCACGCGCGCCCGCCCGAGACAGCGAGAGCGGGAGCCCGGCGCUCGCGCCGUCGCCGGACAACACCGCCACAGAGUGCCCGCCAGACGUGUCGCGUCGGGCCGGAAGCCACAGCACAGCUACCACAGUGGCCGGCGCAACCUCCAGUACCGCCAGCACGCUCUCUGGUGGCCUCAUCCCGAGCUCCUCUCCAAUGAACACCUGCGCACAAUCCAGCGACCUGAAGCCACACUCUAUUGGCCCCCAGACGCUUUCCGACUCCAACGGCGACACCCUGCUGUUUCUCAGCGGCGGGGUGAGGAAGCCGACCCCCCCAUCGCCGAGAGCGCCCGCGGCUCGUGAGACGAGCACGUCCGCUGCCGGUGGGCAGAGCAGGCCUGACGUGCACGUCGCAACCUCGAAAGUCACCGCCGCGACACCGACUGCCUCGGCUUCCAUGACAUCCACCCCCGCGAUGAGUCCCCUCGCCUCCUCGCGCGGCCUCUCCGACGAAGGGGUCACUUCCUACGCUACCGAAGCCAUGUGUCGCCCUGCAUCCCAAGCAAGCAAGCCCGCCCCGCAUCAACUACCAAAGGAGCCUCCGCAGGGCUUUCGUGUGGAGGGCCAGACGUCGAGGCCGGUCAAUCCCAUGAUAAUCACCCUUUCUUCACGGCCUGGUGCGCAGCGGAAGGCGACACGACCGCAAGAGGAAGCGCACGGCGACGGGGCUGUUGCAUCCCGGGACAGCAGAAAGGACGCGGCUUUUCCGACUCGCUCGCCAUGUGACUGGCGGCGGCGCCUGGGCUUCAAGCAGAACAGGGAGAUUGUUUUACCCGACUCCAAGUCGCUGCGGGUGUCCAUGUCGUCGUUGCUCGAGUUUCGCAGCCUGACCAUGCGCGAACAAGGCAAGGAGAUGAUGCCGUCGACUGAGGAAGUAUCCACACACCUCAUGACGCGCUGGAACGCGGUGUGUGCGCUGGUUGUCGUCGACGAGGACGCGGUGCGGAAGCCGUGUCUCGUCGUGAGUGGACUCAGCGUGCGUGUGUACGAGGAAGACAAGUCAGUGACGCUGGCGAACAGCAGAAUGGCUCAUGGCAUGAUGCGGGCACUGAAGGGGCGCGGCGGUAUGACUCGUUCUCGUUUUUUGCGCGGUGCCAGCUACGACGGCGACGAGGAGUCAGACGACAGUGAUGCCUUGGUGAUUGGUAUUCGUGGCGGCGUUGGCUUGAGCAAUCGAGCCACGAGCAGCGGCGGUGGCGGGCUGCCGUCCAACCUGAAGUCCUUUGUUUUGCUGCCAGAUAAGAAGGUACGCCGGAGCCAGUCUGGCGAGGGCGAUUCAGCUGACCCCUGCACGGUCGAGUUUGACAACUACCUGCGCAAGUUUGACGUAGACGAGACGCUCAGCCGCCUCGCUGGCAGAAAGGAGUGUCACUCCGUGGCUCUGGACCAGCUGGUGCGGACCUGGGUGACGGGGCAUAACACCUGCCUACUCCUGGGCAACGGCAACGGCCGCAGCACGCAGUCGCUUGACGUGGCUGUGGGGGCGGUGGAGAGCGCCAUGGGCAUAUUGCGCGAGCGACUAAAUGACCCGGCCAGUCGUGUCGAACUGCACAUUUGCAUGGGCGAAGUCGCUGAUGACGAGGACAACGGUGGGGCGAUGGUGCUAGACCUGCUGGCAUCCUCCUCCUCCGACGACGAGGAUGACGACAGCGACGACGACGAGCAGGAGAAGGGUGCGAGGUGGCAGCGCAAGGAGGCACCGCCGGCCUCACAGAAGAGCGGCCCAACCCGCCCCCCAGUGCAGCUGGCGCGCAGUCCGCUCAUUGGCACCUUUGUGAAGGGGCUCCGCUCCGUAAAAAUCGACGACGCCACCACCGCCACGAGUGCGAUUGGCCGCGCCUUGACUCUGGGGUUUAUGCGGUUCAACAUGUCCGCCCAUUCCUCCCGGAACAACAGCAUGUCGAACCUGUCCAGUCUCAGCAGCGCCGCGCUCAGCAAGGUACGCAUCAGCUUCGCUACACUGCGGCUGAAGACUAUCUGCCGAGGUGCAGACAUGCGCAGCGCGCGGCUGAGCGCCUGCGAGAGCGCAACGAGCAAGAAGAAGUUUGGUGGCCAGGUGCGGCACAGCCGCUCCGUGGAGUACCGGGCCGACGUGCUUGUGUCCUCGCUUCUGCUUGUCUACUUCGGCACCGAGCACAUGGUGCUCGACACCCUCGUGCAGCGCAGCCAGGCGUACCGCGCGACAGCGCGCGAGGAAGAUGAAGGCAUCGUGCAUCCGAACGCACCGAUGCGGGAUCAGAAACCUGAUUUCCAUCCCGCCAGCUGGCCGAACGCAGUCGGGUUUCUUCAGUCACUUCUGUGUGACGCGCUGGGGGGUCGCACCCGCACGAUGGCGUGCCUCUGCUUGUCCGAGUACGACACGCGCGCCACACUCUGGCUCCGAGCGGUGAGCCGGGCGAGACGCAUCACAAACAUGACACCGAACUGCGGCAACGUGCGCAACUACCUGCUGUACCUCCUGGAGCAGUACGAAAACCUGGCAGCACUGCAAAACCGUCGAAAGCAGGAUGCGCGGCUGUUUCUACCGGCGCUGGGCACUCAAGCCAACUCUAAGCACCACAAGCGCGGCCGCCUCUCCGCUGUAUCUUCGGGCAAGGAGUUCGACCAAUGGUCGGUCUACUGCAUCAAGAAGAUGAUCGCUGAGCUCGACGCGUUCGUGGCCACCCCGACAGGCGACACGCCUUCGCUUGAGCGGCUGGAAAUCGCGAACGAGAUCAUUGCAACUACGCAGCCGGAUCCCCUUUUAAGUCAUCCCCUGGCCUUCUUUUCGAGGAACUCCUGAGAUGAAAGUGCAUCGCGCGACAUGGUGUUUGGCGUUUGUGCCCUGCCCGACUCUGCUGUGAGCGGAAACAGCAACGCAGCGAGCUGCAUCAGGAGCACACAAGUGUGUUUUUGUGUGUGUGUGUGUGUCUUCAUGUGCCCCACGGUAAGUGUGAGUCACAUGCCUCGAGGGCCCUUCAGAGGGAACAUGUCUGGCGCGCUUGCCUCCUCUCUCGUUUUACCAGCCGCUCCCUCUCUCCCUUUUGUUCGUCUGUUUCCUUUGUCCUUCGUAUUUUUCGGCACAG